AUAAAAAUCAUGUGGGUAUUUAUUAAAAUGCAGAUUCUGAUUCAGCAGAUUUAGGGUGAGGCUUGAGAUUCUGCAUUUCUAACAAGCUCCCAAGGGACUGGUUU
RNAcentral lists this microRNA precursor (104 nucleotides) under Marmota monax (woodchuck). Lineage: Eukaryota; Metazoa; Chordata; Mammalia; Rodentia; Sciuridae. The record is from RNAcentral.